This 251-nucleotide ribosomal RNA is filed under the name uncultured prokaryote. RNAcentral describes it as "partial 16S rRNA". It matches the Rfam family "Bacterial small subunit ribosomal RNA", at positions 525 to 775 of the family's 1533-position model. The record is from RNAcentral.
ACAGAGGUGGCAAGCGUUGUUCGGAUUUAUUGGGCGUAAAGGGUCCGUAGGCGGCCUGAAAAGUUGGAUGUGAAAUCCCACAGCUUAACUGUGGAACUGCAUUCAAAACUUUCAGGCUCGAGUGUGAUAGGGGUAAAGGGAAUUCCCGGUGUACGAGUGAAAUCUGCAGAAAUCGGGAGGAGCACCAGUGGCGAAGGCAGAAUACUAGAUCACUACUGACGCUGAGGGACAGAAGCCAGGGGAACAAACGG